RNAcentral lists this long non-coding RNA (1344 nucleotides) under Mytilus galloprovincialis (Mediterranean mussel). Lineage: Eukaryota; Metazoa; Mollusca; Bivalvia; Mytilida; Mytilidae. The record is from RNAcentral.
UUCUAUAUGAGAUCCAAAACAUAAUUAAUAAGAUAUGUUUUUAUAUGCAUGCUACUUUUUUAAUCUUCAAAAAGAGAAGCAACGACUAUUGAAAUUGAGAUCUGAUUUUGCCAUGUACGAAUUAAAUAUGUUUAUUAAUGUUUUUGUAUACGGUACAGUUGACUCUUUAUCUUAAUGAUAAUUGGACUGACAAAAAUCUUAUCUUUGAUUUGCAAACUAAAAUUGUGUUACAGUUGUAGAUUAUUAAUUGUUUUUUGAUAUAUAAAUGAAACUUCCAUUUUUAUUGUAUUCUGAAAAAUAUCCAGUACAUCAUUUGACAAUAUCUUAUGGGUUAAAUGUCAAAUAACUAUCAUUUUCUGAAAUAAUCUCCAAAAGAAAGUGAUGGAUCUGAACUCUUAACUGUAUGACAAUUUUGCAAUCUUCCAUAAAAAAUUGACAAAAAUGUUUAAAACUGUUAGAUAAAGUAUCACUUACUAUUAUUUGAUAUAAUAAUAUUUAAAUGACAAUGGAUGUGUAAAACUUUAUCAUUAUUUAUAUAGUAGUUGAAGUUCUAUUUUAAACAUUUAGAAUUUACUUACAAAGAACAUGUAUCCUUUAGUUAAAUAAUAGGGCAACUGAAUCAUAUGUGAAGCUAGGUACUGGUUUUAAAUUUAAAGAAAGUAACAUAGAAAAGAAGGAGAUAGUUACAUUUAUAUAACAUUGUAUUUACUAUAUAAGAGGGUUAUACCACUUUGAUAUUAAUUAAUAAUUAUAUCUUUAUUUUUGUCUAAUCUAUAUAGUAGCAAUAUAAUAAAAAAUAAUACUAUUAUACCAAGUCCUAUAUACAGUUGUUGUUAGUCCAAGGGAUUUUAUUUCAUCUAAAUUGGAGGCCUUCACUAAACUGAUUUGUUUCUUUGAAUUUAACUGGUCAAUCAUGUACAAUACUUGAUUCAGGAAUGUUCCUUUACUGAGUAACAAAUUUUGUUUCUCUCAAGUUGAUGACAUGAAACCAUCAAGGGUAUAUUAUGUUAAUUUAUUGUUAUUUUAUUACCGGUAAAUCUAAUCUUUAAUGGCAAUCAUAUAUCAAUACUACCUUAUGGAAAAAUCAGGUUUUUAUAGUGUAUCAUUGCUUUUUGACAACCUUAUUUUUCAUGCUUUUCAUUUAAAAAGAAAUAUUUGCCUUAUAGCUAGUCUUAUUACUGGGUCAUUGUUAUUUUAUGGAUGUAAAUGAAAACAUAUAUCAAUUUAUCCUUGUUAUUGAUUUAUGCUUUUGAUUGUUGACUGCAUUUAGCAUUUAGGAUUAAUUAACUAAUUUCAAUUCACUUUUCAAAUGAACAAAGAUUUUUUAUAUUUACAUGUGAUAUA